UUGUUUAGCUAUGCAUUAGAUUUUUCUACCUAAGAUGGCUAUGGUUUAUGAUAACGCCUAGAUGUUUUUACUAAACAUGAACCAAAAGUUUCGCCACAACGAGUAGACUUUUUUUUACCAAGUGAUUAUAUGCUUGCUAAUCAAGUAAAUGAAAGACUGUCAAUGUAUUCUCAAUAUACAUCUCAUAGAUAUUUAAAUCUAUUUCCCAUAAUGCAUAUGAAUCUAUAACAAAAUAUUUCGAAACUGGUUAUACUUAUGUCCCAUAAAUUAUUAUGCGCAUUAUAAAUUUCUUAAAUUACAGAUUCAAAUUGAUAUGAUUUCUGUAGAUUUAGUGCUAUUUAAGGUAUUGAUUGAUCUUAUUAAUUGCAUCAAAGGUACCUUAAUGAUAUAUACAUGAUUUGUUUUGGCAACAAUACAUGAUUCUAUAGAUGAGUAUAUAUGGAGAUAUAUUUUUCAUAAAUAUAGUGACAUAUUCUCUCUUUCCUAAUCUAAUCCCCACCAUCUAACUUAUUUAAGAUUAGUACGACCCAUUUUCUUUCAAUCAUACCAAAUUACCAACACACCAGCGAUACCAUAUUUAUUUGAUUUCCUCAUUUUCAAUGGCUUCCUUUAACUCUUUAACUCGGUUUCCGAUUUGAAACCAAUAAAGUUGGAAAAUCAAGGUCAAAAUCGUA
Molecule: long non-coding RNA, 674 nt
Filed under: Brassica napus (rape)
Lineage: Eukaryota; Viridiplantae; Streptophyta; Magnoliopsida; Brassicales; Brassicaceae
Description: long non-coding RNA (BNAP_LNC008127)
Source: RNAcentral